This 581-nucleotide ribosomal RNA is filed under the name Odocoileus virginianus (white-tailed deer). Its description in RNAcentral is "SSU rRNA". It matches the Rfam family "Eukaryotic small subunit ribosomal RNA", at positions 1184 to 1774 of the family's 1831-position model. Lineage: Eukaryota; Metazoa; Chordata; Mammalia; Artiodactyla; Cervidae. The record is from RNAcentral.
UGCGGCUUAAUUUGACUCAACACGGGAAACCUCACCCGGCCCGGACACGGACAGGAUUGACAGAUUGAUAGCUCUUUCUCGAUUCCGUGGGUGGUGGUGCAUGGCCGUUCUUAGUUGGUGGAGCGAUUUGUCUGGUUAAUUCCGAUAACGAACGAGACUCUGGCAUGCUAACUAGUUACGCGACCCCCGAGCGGUCGGCGUCCCCCAACUUCUUAGAGGGACAAGUGGCGUUCAGCCACCCGAGAUUGAGCAAUAACAGGUCUGUGAUGCCCUUAGAUGUCCGGGGCUGCACGCGCGCUACACUGACUGGCUCAGCGUGUGCCUACCCUACGCCGGCAGGCGCGGGUAACCCGUUGAACCCCAUUCGUGAUGGGGAUCGGGGAUUGCAAUUAUUCCCCAUGAACGAGGAAUUCCCAGUAAGUGCGGGUCAUAAGCUUGCGUUGAUUAAGUCCCUGCCCUUUGUACACACCGCCCGUCGCUACUACCGAUUGGAUGGUUUAGUGAGGCCCUCGGAUCGGCCCCGCCGGGGUCGGCCCACGGCCCUGGCGGAGCGCUGAGAAGACGGUCGAACUUGACUAUCU